CUUGCUCACAAAGUCUCCUUUGAUUUUAAUUGUGUAUAGUGAGCUUGUAAUAUGAGUUGAGUGUGAGAAUGUCCUUUCUAAAGAGGAUAUGUCACCUCCAACUCAAUGCAAGACAUUCCCAUUAUUUUUAAAAAGAGUAGGAAGUACCCAUACCUAGAGCAUUAUUUGACAGACCCAGACGUCAGUCCCAAAUUUUACAAAUGUUUGUCAACGCAUGGCCUAGGGGGGUCUCAGCAUGCAUGUUCAUACCAGGGGUUCUUAACUUCUGGAUCGGGUUCUAAAU
Molecule: non-coding RNA, 283 nt
Organism: Pelobates cultripes (western spadefoot toad)
Lineage: Eukaryota; Metazoa; Chordata; Amphibia; Anura; Pelobatidae
Source: the annotation of a GenBank genome assembly